Molecule: long non-coding RNA, 2257 nt
Organism: Suncus etruscus (white-toothed pygmy shrew)
Lineage: Eukaryota; Metazoa; Chordata; Mammalia; Eulipotyphla; Soricidae
Exons: 2
Source: RefSeq, a predicted model, not a curated record
ACAUGCUCACUAGUCCUUUGAGUGAGCUCUCUGGCUCCAAUUUUUUUUUAACACAGUAGGAAGUUAGCCAGUUGCUAUAUAUGUACUUCAGUUUUCAAAAUACAUGUUCACUCUCAAGAGGAAAUUAGAAUGUUACAGUUUAAAUAAAACCCUGAAUUACAAAAAUGUUGUUUGUGAAGGACAUUUGAUAUAAAUAGGAGAGGAAAUAAUAUCUAAUUUGUUAAUAUUUUAUUUUUAAGCAAUUUCUCUAUUUUGCCUCAUGUUUUAGAAUAGUAAUAAUAUGGGUGUGUCCUUGAGAAAAAUAUUUUAAUUCAAGCCAAGUAACAUUGAGAAAAUAAAAACAUUGAUAUGUUUGAGGUGAAAGUUAACCAAAAAUUUUAAGUAAAUCUUUUUUUUUAAUUUCCGUAGCUGUAACAUAAAACUGUUUCAUUUUCUAAAUGAAGCAUAAAACAAUAUUUCAUUUUCUAAAUGAAAUGCUUACUGUCAUAGUACAUAUUAGUAAUCAUACAGCAUUAACAUUUCUUUUUUGUCUUUUGGGCUUUGAAGUUGAGUUUAUUUUCCUUAGUCAUAUUAAAACAGGGAUGAAGUAACAGUUUACACAGUUAAAGAUUCAAAUUACCUAUGCAGAUAACAAUUGAAUUACUGGCAUAAUAUUUUUCAUUUGAUGUCAGAAAAAGGGGAUGAUUUCUGUUAAAUUUUUAUAAAUUUUCAGUGACUUCUACCUUUCAAAAGAAUAAAUGUUAUCUUAAGAGAUCCCUGAAUUAAUUUUAAAAUAAGUGUGACCCUAUUUAUAUUUGAAAUAAGAAUUAAUAGUUAAUGUUAACAAUAUUUUAGUGAAACUUACUUUGGUUAUGGCAAUUUCUGAAGCUGAAUUAGACUUCUUUAGUAGUUAGAGACUAUCUGAAGGGCUGGAAAGUGUUGCUGAAAUUGAUAUUGUACAUUUCUGACCUGCUAUUGAAUUUACAAAUUAAUUUUAUUAUAGUUCAAAAUGUAGUAAUAGGAGUUUCUUACAGGAUAUUUAUAAAGGAACUACUUGGUUGGGAAAGUGCUCUUUCAAUAACCAUUUGUUGAAUAAUAUAGUGACUGAUAACUUGGACUUGGAUUUCUAUAAUAACAUGGUUACUGUUCCAAGCAUACAUUUAAUUGAGCUUACUGACAUUCUCUUAUGUAAGUUUGUUACUGUAAAUAUGUAAUUUUGGUAAUUCUCACUACGAGGCUCAUUCGGAUUAUUUCAUUUAAAACUGCCAGUAGCUAUAGUUUUCAGAGACAAAGUUAUUUCCUUUAGCUUUUUUGGACAUUCUUUUUAGUUUUCACAAAACAAGUAAAACUGUUUUAUUAUUUAUUAUAGAAGGUAAAAUUCCCAGCUUCAACCUCAGAAUGGCAUUGUGGCAUAUUUCUUUAUAAUAUUGUACAUUUGAUCAUGAAGGGGGAAAGAUUAUGGAUUUUUUUCUUAUUUAAACAAAGUAGCUUCUAAUCAAGCUAACUUCAAAUCAGAAUGUUAUUACAACUGCUAAAGUCACACAAAGAGAACCUUUUGUGCCUUUUUUGCCUGCAGUAAGUAUUCAUUUCUGUUUUAUACCAACUUUGUUGAUAAUUAUUGCACCUUUUUUCCCCCCAGUAAAUAGAAUUGAUUAGGGAAAACUUUUUAAAACAAGGAGCAGUUUUUCAUGGCUAAGUACUUUAGUAAUUAGGAGGAGAUGUCAAAAAUAACUCUACAUAGCCUAGUCUUUUCCAUGGUUAAGUAGUACACUUCUUUGGACUAUAGGCAAUUGUUUGUAUAUAUGUGUAAAUGGAUGUAUAAAUAGCAUUUAAAUAUAUAAACGUAAUCUCAGCAUCACAUUUGUGUGAUGACAAUAGUAUUGAGGUGCUAGGUGAUUACAUUAAAAGCACAACAUAUUAUAUAAUCAGUCACUAUGACUGGUACUUUUGUUUUAUUAGGUUCAGUUUCUGAACCACCCAGAAUACCUCAUAUGUAAAUACAGUGGUCAUGACUAAUUGAAAUACAGCUGUUGUAAAAAGAAUGUGAAGCCACUGGUUGGCUUAUGCCUUCUAAUCUAUCUUUUGCCUCUUUUUUGUAAAGGGGUUGGGUUUUGUUUCUGACUUUUGUUUUUUAAUAGGGUUUACAGCUAGAAUUUUGAAUGCCAAAGUUCUAUUUAUUAAAUUAAGAAAAGUUUUCAGUGUUAAUGGCUAAAUAUUUUUCCACUGGACUAUUGUUUGUUGAUGUUGAAAUUUGUAUUUACAGAGAAAUAAAUUUUUU